AAGACCUUGCGCUUUUGGAGCGGCCGAUGUCUGAUUAGCUUGUUGGUAAGGUAAAAGCUUACCAAGGCUUCGAUCAGUAGCUGGUCUGAGAGGACGGCCAGCCACACUGGGACUGAGACACGGCCCAGACUCCUACGGGAGGCAGCAGUGGGGAAUUUUGGACAAUGGGGGCAACCCUGAUCCAGCCAUGCCGCGUGAGUGAAGAAGGCCUUCGGGUUGUAAAGCUCUUUCAGCCGGAACGAAACGGUUACGGUUAAUACCCGUGACUACUGGCGGUACCGGAAGAAGAAGCACCGGCUAACUACGUGCCAGCAGCCGCGGUAAUACGUAGGGUGCAAGCGUUAAUCGGAAUUACUGGGCGUAAAGCGUGCGCAGGUGGUUUUGUAAGUCAGAUGUGAAAGCCCCGGGCUCAACCUGGGAACU
RNAcentral lists this ribosomal RNA (423 nucleotides) under uncultured bacterium. RNAcentral's name for it is "bacterial SSU rRNA". It matches the Rfam family "Bacterial small subunit ribosomal RNA", at positions 207 to 622 of the family's 1533-position model. The record is from RNAcentral.